This 279-nucleotide unclassified non-coding RNA is filed under the name plant metagenome. RNAcentral's name for it is "partial contains small subunit ribosomal RNA, internal transcribed spacer 1, and 5.8S ribosomal RNA". The record is from RNAcentral.
UCUCCGUAGGUGAACCUGCGGAGGGAUCACUACAGGCUUGCAAAAGCUCUGAAACCACUGUUUUUCCACCUUAAUCUGCUUCGGCCGGGCGCCCCAGGGCGGGGUCGUUUCCCACACGUGGUCGCCCAAGGACCCUAAACUCCGUCCUCUUGAGAAUCCGUGCGUAUCACAUUAAUUUAUAAAACCACUUUCAACAACGGCUCUCUUAGCUUUGGCAUCGCUGAAAAACUCAGAAGAAACGAAGAACAACCCUCUGAACCCCAGUCACUCGUAUCAACC